AGGGUUUGAUCCUGGCUCAGAACGAACGCUGGCGGCGCGCCUAAUACAUGCAAGUCGAGCGAGAAGACGUAGCAAUACGUUUGUAAAGCGGCGAACGGGUGAGGAAUACAUGGGUAACCUACCCUCGAGUGGGGAAUAACUAGCCGAAAGGUUAGCUAAUACCGCAUACGGCUCUUGGUCUGCGGAUCGAGAGAGAAAGCGAUACCGUGGGUAUCGCGCUCCUGGAUGGGCUCAUGUCCUAUCAGCUUGUUGGUGAGGUAACGGCUCACCAAGGCUUCGACGGGUAGCUGGUCUGAGAGGACGAUCAGCCACACUGGCACUGCGACACGGGCCAGACUCCUACGGGAGGCAGCAGUAAGGAAUAUUGCGCAAUGGGCGACAGCCUGACGCAGCGACGCCGCGUGGGGGAUGAAGGUCUUCGGAUUGUAAACCCCUUUCGGCAGGGAAGAUGGAACGGGUAACCGUUCGGACGGUACCUGCAGAAGCAGCCACGGCUAACUUCGUGCCAGCAGCCGCGGUAAUACGAAGGUGGCAAGCGUUGUUCGGAUUUACUGGGCGUACAGGGAGCGUAGGCGGUUGGGUAAGCCCUUCGUGAAAUCUCCGGGCCUAACCCGGAAAGUGCGGAGGGGACUGCUCGGCUAGAGGAUGGGAGAGGAGCGCGGAAUUCCCGGUGUAGCGGUGAAAUGCGUAGAGAUCGGGAGGAAGGCCGGUGGCGAAGGCGGCGCUCUGGAACAUUUCUGACGCUGAGGCUCGAAAGCGUGGGGAGCAAACAGGAUUAGAUACCCUGGUAGUCCACGCCUUAAACGAUGGAUACUAAGUGUCGGCGGGUUACCGCCGGUGCCGCAGCUAACGCAGUAAGUAUCCCGCCUGGGAAGUACGGCCGCAAGG
RNAcentral lists this ribosomal RNA (888 nucleotides) under uncultured Nitrospirota bacterium. RNAcentral describes it as "bacterial SSU rRNA". It matches the Rfam family "Bacterial small subunit ribosomal RNA", at positions 8 to 893 of the family's 1533-position model. The record is from RNAcentral. Lineage: Bacteria; Pseudomonadati; Nitrospirota.